RNAcentral lists this ribosomal RNA (253 nucleotides) under uncultured bacterium. RNAcentral describes it as "partial 16S ribosomal RNA". It matches the Rfam family "Bacterial small subunit ribosomal RNA", at positions 524 to 776 of the family's 1533-position model. The record is from RNAcentral.
UACAGAGGUCCCAAGCGUUGUUCGGAUUCACUGGGCGUAAAGGGUGCGUAGGCGGUCGGGUAAGUCUGAUGUGAAAUCUCGCAGCUUAACUGUGAAACUGCGUCGGAUACUAUCCGGCUAGAGGAUUGGAAGGGAGACUGGAAUACUUGGUGUAGCAGUGAAAUGCGUAGAUAUCAAGUGGAACACCAGUGGCGAAGGCGAGUCUCUGGACAAUUCCUGACGCUGAGGCACGAAAGCCAGGGGAGCAAACGGG